Molecule: ribosomal RNA, 466 nt
Filed under: uncultured bacterium
Lineage: Bacteria
Description: partial 16S ribosomal RNA
Rfam family: Bacterial small subunit ribosomal RNA
Source: RNAcentral
GAUGAACGCUGGCGGCGUGCUUAACACAUGCAAGUCGAACGAUGAAGCCCAGCUUGCUGGGUGGAUUAGUGGCGAACGGGUGAGUAACACGUGAGUAACCUGCCCUUGACUCUGGGAUAAGCCUGGGAAACUGGGUCUAAUACUGGAUAUGACUUCUCAUCGCAUGGUGGGGGGUGGAAAGAUUUAUUGGUCUUGGAUGGACUCGCGGCCUAUCAGCUUGUUGGUGAGGUAAUGGCUCACCAAGGCGGCGACGGGUAGCCGGCCCGAGAGGGUGACCGGCCACACUGGGACUGAGACACGGCCCAGAAUCCUACGGGAGGCAGCAGUGGGGAAUAUUGCACAAUGGGCGCAAGCCUGAUGCAGCGACGCCGCGUGAGGGAUGACGGCCUUCGGGUUGUAAACCUCUUUCAGUAGGGAAGAAGCGAGAGUGACGGUACCUGCAGAAGAAGCGCCGGCUAACUACGUG